This 387-nucleotide ribosomal RNA is filed under the name uncultured soil bacterium. RNAcentral's name for it is "bacterial SSU rRNA". It matches the Rfam family "Bacterial small subunit ribosomal RNA", at positions 26 to 445 of the family's 1533-position model. The record is from RNAcentral.
AGAGCGAACGCUGGCGGAAUGCUUAACACAUGCAAGUCGCACGGGCAGCAAUGUCAGUGGCGGACGGGUGAGUAUCGCGUAGGAAUAUGUCCGGAGGUGGGGGACAACCCUGGGAAACUGGGGCUAAUACCGCAUAUGAGCUGAGGCUCAAAGCAGUGAUGCGCCUUUGGAGUAGCCUGCGUCCGAUUAGCUAGUUGGCGAGGUAACGGCUCACCAAGGCGACGAUCGGUAGCUGGCCUGAGAGGAUGAUCAGCCAGACUGGGACUGAGAACGGCCAGACUCCUACGGGAGCAGCAGUCGGAAUUUGCCAAUGGACGAAAGUCUGAGGCAGCAACGUCCGCGUGGAGGAUGAAGGCCGUUCGGGUCGUAAACCUCUUUCCCGAGGAA